GAUGAACGCUGGCGGCGUGCCUAAUACAUGCAAGUCGAGCGAACGGACGAGAAGCUUGCUUCUCUGAUGUUAGCGGCGGACGGGUGAGUAACACGUGGAUAACCUACCUAUAAGACUGGGAUAACUUCGGGAAACCGGAGCUAAUACCGGAUGAUAUUUUGAACCGCAUGGUUCAAAAGUGAAAGACGGUCUUGCUGUCACUUAUAGAUGGAUCCGCGCUGCAUUAGCUAGUUGGUAAGGUAACGGCUUACCAAGGCAACGAUGCAUAGCCGACCUGAGAGGGUGAUCGGCCACACUGGAACUGAGACACGGUCCAGACUCCUAAGGGAGGCAGCAGUAGGGAGUCUUCCGCAAUGGGCGAAAGCCUGACGGAGCAACGCCGCGUGAGUGAUGAAGGUCUUCGGAUCGUAAAACUCUGUUAUUAGGGAAGAACAUAUGUGUAAGUAACUGUGCACAUCUUGACGGUACCUAAUCAGAAAGCCACGGCUAACUACGUG
This 497-nucleotide ribosomal RNA is filed under the name uncultured bacterium. RNAcentral describes it as "partial 16S ribosomal RNA". It matches the Rfam family "Bacterial small subunit ribosomal RNA", at positions 28 to 507 of the family's 1533-position model. The record is from RNAcentral.